AUUGGACGCUGGCGGCAUGCCUUACACAUGCAAGUCGAACGGCAGCACGGGAGCAAUCCUGGUGGCGAGUGGCGAACGGGUGAGUAAUACAUCGGAACGUGCCCAAUCGUGGGGGAUAACGCAGCGAAAGCUGUGCUAAUACCGCAUACGAUCUACGGAUGAAAGCAGGGGAUCGCAAGACCUUGCGCGAAUGGAGCGGCCGAUGGCAGAUUAGGUAGUUGGUGAGGUAAAGGCUCACCAAGCCGUCGAUCUGUAGCUGGUCUGAGAGGACGACCAGCCACACUGGGACUGAGACACGGCCCAGACUCCUACGGGAGGCAGCAGUGGGGAAUUUUGGACAAUGGGCGAAAGCCUGAUCCAGCCAUGCCGCGUGCAGGAUGAAGGCCUUCGGGUUGUAAACUGCUUUUGUACGGAACGAAACGGCCUUUUCUAAUAAAGAGGGCUAAUGACGGUACCGUAAGAAUAAGCACCGGCUAACUACGUGCCAGCAGCCGCGGUAAUACGUAGGGUGCAAGCGUUAAUCGGAAUUACUGGGCGUAAAGCGUGCGCAGGCGGUUAUGUAAGACAGUUGUGAAAUCCCCGGGGCUCAACCUGGGAACUGCAUCUGUGACUGCAUAGCUAGAGUACGGUAGAGGGGGAUGGAAUUCC
RNAcentral lists this ribosomal RNA (648 nucleotides) under uncultured Comamonadaceae bacterium. Its description in RNAcentral is "bacterial SSU rRNA". It matches the Rfam family "Bacterial small subunit ribosomal RNA", at positions 28 to 670 of the family's 1533-position model. The record is from RNAcentral. Lineage: Bacteria; Pseudomonadati; Pseudomonadota; Betaproteobacteria; Burkholderiales; Comamonadaceae.